RNAcentral lists this ribosomal RNA (377 nucleotides) under uncultured bacterium. RNAcentral's name for it is "bacterial SSU rRNA". It matches the Rfam family "Bacterial small subunit ribosomal RNA", at positions 523 to 898 of the family's 1533-position model. The record is from RNAcentral.
AUACGUAGGUGGCGAGCGUUGUCCGGAAUUACUGGGCGUAAAGCGCGCGUAGACGGCUCGAUAAGUGAGAUGUGAAAGACCCGGGCUCAACUCGGGGGUUGCAUCUUAGACUGUAGAGCUUGAGUGCAGGAGAGGCAAGUGGAAUUCCCAGUGUAGCAGUGAAAUGCGUAGAGAUUGGGAGGAACACCAGUGGCGAAGGCGACUUGCUGGACUGUAACUGACGUUGAGGUGCGAAAGCUAGGGGAGCAAACGGGAUUAGAUACCCCGGUAGUCCUAGCCGUAAACGAUGGGUACUAGGUGUGGGAGGUAUCGACCCCUUCCGUGCCGGAGUGAACGCAAUAAGUACCCCGCCUGGGGAGUACGGCCGCAAGGUUGAA